This is a long non-coding RNA of Magallana angulata, 377 nucleotides long. RefSeq lists it as uncharacterized. The record is from RefSeq and is a predicted model, not a curated record. NCBI's taxonomy places the organism in Eukaryota, Metazoa, Mollusca, Bivalvia, Ostreida, Ostreidae. The transcript has 4 exons.
CUAGGAUAAGAGGGAUGGCCUGUUACGGCCGUAGGACAAGGACAGAAUACACACUGGGACUGACCAAAGGCUGGCUGAAAAGAUACAAGGGACCACAGUACUUUGACUAAUGACCCUCAGUCACCCUUACAUGAAGUGGUUCAUCUGUGUGUUCUCUGUGGUCGUUAUUGGACUCCUUUUAGCCAAUCUAACAGAAGGGUCCAUGGCUCUGCUUUGCUGUUCAGAUAUUCAGUGCGUUACGGCCCCUUGUCCCUGUACUAACAACCCGUUCUUGUGUCGUAUCAGCAGACUUCUAGAGUCCAAAGUAGACAUGUGAAAGGAAGAAUCAAGUGUAACUUGAAAAAUAAAUGAUAAUUUCAACUAUAGAAUACAAAGAA